ACGAACGCUGGCGGCGUGCUUAACACAUGCAAGUCGAGCGGUAAGGCCCUUCGGGGUACACGAGCGGCGAACGGGUGAGUAACACGUGGGUGAUCUGCCUCGCACUCUGGGAUAAGCCUGGGAAACUGGGUCUAAUACCGGAUAUGACCAUUGACCGCAUGGUUGGUGGUGGAAAGAUUUAUCGGUGUGAGAUGAGCCCGCGGCCUAUCAGCUUGUUGGUGGGGUAAUGGCCUACCAAGGCGACGACGGGUAGCCGGCCUGAGAGGGUGAUCGGCCACACUGGGACUGAGACGCGGCCCAGACUCCUACGGGAGGCAGCAGUGGGGAAUAUUGCACAAUGGGCGGAAGCCUGAUGCAGCGACGCCGCGUGAGGGAUGACGGCCUUCGGGUUGUAAACCUCUUUCAGCGCUGACGAAGCCUUCGGGUGACGGUAGGCGCAGAAGAAGCACCGGCCAACUACGUGCCAGCAGCCGCGGUAAUACGUAGGGUGCGAGCGUUGUCCGGAAUUACUGGGCGUAAAGAGCUUGUAGGCGGUUUGUCGCGUCGAUCGUGAAAACUCGCAGCUCAACUGUGAGCGUGCGGUCGAUACGGGCAGGCUAGAGUUCUGCAGGGGAGACUGGAAUUCCUGGUGUAGCGGUGAAAUGCGCAGAUAUCAGGAGGAACACCGGUGGCGAAGGCGGGUCUCUGGGCAGUAACUGACGCUGAGAAGCGAAAGCGUGGGUAGCGAACAGGAUUAGAUACCCUGGUAGUCCACGCCGUAAACGGUGGGUACUAGGUGUGGGUUUCCUUCCACGGGAUCCGUGCCGUAGCUAACGCAUUAAGUACCCCGCCUGGGGAGUACGGCCGCAAGGCUAAAACUCAAAGGAAUUGACGGGGGCCCGCACAAGCGGCGGAGCAUGUGGAUUAAUUCGAUGCAACGCGAAGAACCUUACCUGGGUUUGACAUACACCGGUAACCUGCAGAGAUGUAGGCCCCCUUGUGGUCGGUGUACAGGUGGUGCAUGGCUGUCGUCAGCUCGUGUCGUGAGAUGUUGGGUUAAGUCCCGCAACGAGCGCAACCCUUAUCUUAUGUUGCCAGCGCGUUAUGGCGGGGACUCGUGAGAGACUGCCGGGGUCAACUCGGAGGAAGGUGGGGACGACGUCAAGUCAUCAUGCCCCUUAUGUCCAGGGCUUCACACAUGCUACAAUGGCUGGUACAGAGGGCUGCGAUACCGUGAGGUGGAGCGAAUCCCUUAAAGCCGGUCUCAGUUCGGAUCGGGGUCUGCAACUCGACCCCGUGAAGUUGGAGUCGCUAGUAAUCGCAGAUCAGCAACGCUGCGGUGAAUACGUUCCCGGGCCUUGUACACACCGC
This 1350-nucleotide ribosomal RNA is filed under the name uncultured bacterium. RNAcentral's name for it is "bacterial SSU rRNA". It matches the Rfam family "Bacterial small subunit ribosomal RNA", at positions 29 to 1393 of the family's 1533-position model. The record is from RNAcentral.